GAUGAACGCUGGCGGCAUGCCUAAUACAUGCAAGUCGAACGAGAGGAAGGAAAGCUUGCUUUUCUGAAUCUAGUGGCGAACGGGUGAGUAACACGUAGGUAACCUGCCCAUGUGCCCGGGAUAACUUCUGGAAACGGAUGCUAAAACCGGAUAGGUAGCAGACAAGCAUUUGACUGCUAUUAAAGUGGCUAAGGCCAUGAACAUGGAUGGACCUGCGGUGCAUUAGCUAGUUGGUGAGGUAACGGCCCACCAAGGCGACGAUGCAUAGCCGGCCUGAGAGGGCGGACGGCCACAUUGGGACUGAGACACGGCCCAAACUCCUACGGGAGGCAGCAGUAGGGAAUUUUCGUCAAUGGGGGGAACCCUGAACGAGCAGUGCCGCGUGAGUGAGGAAGGUCUUCGGAUCGUAAAGCUCUGUUGUAAGAGAAAAACGACAUUCAUAGGGAAUGAUGAGUGGGUGAUGGUAUCUUACCAGAAAGUCACGGCUAACUACGUGCCAGCAGCCGCGGUAA
This 512-nucleotide ribosomal RNA is filed under the name uncultured bacterium. RNAcentral's name for it is "partial 16S ribosomal RNA". It matches the Rfam family "Bacterial small subunit ribosomal RNA", at positions 28 to 523 of the family's 1533-position model. The record is from RNAcentral.